This 6821-nucleotide long non-coding RNA is filed under the name Sus scrofa (pig). RNAcentral describes it as "lncRNA (ENSSSCG00000057130.1)". Lineage: Eukaryota; Metazoa; Chordata; Mammalia; Artiodactyla; Suidae. The record is from RNAcentral.
AACACAAAUCUUAGAAGCACCUUUGUGGCAGCUAUGGAAAUUCUCAAGAGCAAGGGCUUUGUAAUCAACCUCUGGGAGGUUCUGUUUUACAAACUACACUGUUGUUGGCUGUUAGGCGAUCAGUCCUCAGUGUUUUUUUGCUCUGACAACACUUUGAAUUACAUUGUCAGGCAGAUACAACAGCUCAGGAAUCACAAAAAACAAUCCCUGAAGAGUUUUGAAUUCUAGAUUGGGAUUGUCUGAAGAAGACAGGACUUACUGAAAAUGUCUAAACUCUUUGUCUGUGGCCUCAGAACUUCAUCAUCCACUGUAAACUCCACUGGUCCCACAGAUCUUGUACUCUGAUCACUCCAGAUGCUUAAAAUCCCCCAAAUAUAUUUGGACUUUUCCUCCUUUCUUGUCUUUGCUCAUGCUCUGCUCAAGUAAGAAAGGUCCUCCAAGCUUGAUCCUCAUUUGAAACCCAGUACCUCUUUCAGUAGUGAAUUAAAAGCUGCCUCCUACAGUAGGCAGUUAAUUUGCUUAAUGUCCCCAUAAGGGGCAACCCAGUGAGGCAUGAAAUCCCACUGUCAUGCACAUUCUUGCCUCUCAGCAAUGGCCUGUCUACCAGCUGAUUAGAAACCAGUUGGGUUUCUUCUUAAAUCCAGAGACUGUGGUCAAACAGUACCGAACACCAGACCACAAAGGUCCAGUCAAACUGAGGCUAGCAACACUCAGAACCAAGUGAAAGUAGAGGAAAUCAGUAGAAACAGAGAGGGAACUAAGGGAAACACAGAUAAAAGGGACUGGAGGUUGCUUCUGCCACGGUUCAUCUGCCUCAGACCCCAUUUCCUAUGAAGCCUGUGGUGGAGUUUCAUUUCAUGUUAUCUUCACAUUCUUUCAACAAUCCCUUUUUACCUGAGUUAGCUUGAGUAGUCUCUUCUGGAAAACAAAAGAGCCUUACUUCUAGAUCAGGUUUCUCUGCUCACUACUAAAGAUUUAAAAUCUUCCUGGUUGGCAUUCACUAAUGCUUUUUAUUUACAAUUCAAUUGUGGCCCUAUCCCACCUUCAAUUAAUGUCAGUUAAGCAUAUAUGUUUCUCCUAAGUUUUCUUUCAGACCAAAUUCAUUCAUCUUUCUCUCCUUUCGCAGCCAGUAUCUGGUACAUACUACAUUUUUAACAAAUGUUUAUUAAACUAGGUAAUGAUUAGUGAUGUCAAUAAUCAUACUAUCAACUGGGCCUUGUGAAACUAGUUACUGACAUACCAUAAAAGGUGUUACCUCCACUACCACCCAUACUCAGGGUGUCUGCUCCUGAAAGGUGACAGAGAAGAAAAGGGAAGCAGAGAUGUUUAGCUGCCCAUCCCACAUGUACAGUGCACCCUUUUUCAAUAUAUAGUUGUUGCCAUUAAAUGACUUCCAAGCCAGAACUGUAUUCCCUAGCCCUCUUUACAUGGUUAAUGUAUAGUCCUUCCCCAGAGAAUGUGAGCAGAAGUGAUGGAAGCCUCUUUCGGACCAAAGUGGUUAAUAAGUGAUAGCAAGAACCAUACAUCACGGAAGGAAGGAGUCUGGGUCCCUGAAUAAUCCCACAGAGUCUGCUGACCAGAAAACCUUUCAAAAAACUGUGACAGGAACAAGAAAUAAAUUUUACUGGGCUAAAAAAACUGGGAUUUCAGGCUCUAUCUGUUAUAGCAACUGUUGUAAAUAAGACAACAAAGAACAGUACUGCCGCAUUUUCUCUUUACAGUUGGAGUAUUCCAUUUCUUCUAGUCUUUUGUUGUAUCUUAUGGUAUCGAUUAGACUAACUGAUUGACAAGUCAUCAUCACCAUUUUUUAACCUUUAGUAGUUAAACUUUUUUGCUUCAUGUUACUGUAUUAUAUUUUCUUGAUGUUUACCAGGACAUCUUAAAGGGAAGAGGGUGAGUGAAGAGUAAGAUAUGAAGCCAAUAAUACCACUGAACUUGAUUCAACUCAUGGGGGCCUUCAGUGGCAUGCGAACACUGAAGGUUACCUCACUCAGGUGUUCUAGAAUACUAACAGUUUCUGGAUGUUAGUCUGAUGAAAACAAAACUUCAUCUCAUGAAAUAUGCAAUCUACAUCCUUGUUUCAUCAAGCAGAAUGUACAUAUUGGUCUUUUUUAAAAAGUCAUUAAUGUGCUGAUUUUGAUUCAGCCAAAGAGGCCUCCCUUUAGGGAGUUUCAGCCUGAACUUCAUAUGCAGAGCCAUCCUACAAUAUGUCAUCAAAAACAAUUUAUAAAAUUGUGGUUUUAAGACAAAUGGCAUAGCUUGGUAAUAUAAGUAGUGUGUAGUAGUGCCCUUGUCAUGGUGAAAUUCCUUUCUGUGAAAUUUAAACCUUUGAAUGAUGAUUAAGGGUACUGGAGAGAAGCAUGCUUUGGAUAAACUCCCAAGUUCAUCAGAUGCCUGACAUGCAUUGGCAUGUGUCUGGAUCCCACAGAUCAUUAGGAACAGAGUGUGCUUUGGUUCAGGGCCCUUAUUUGGUUUAUAGUUAAUCCGUAAAGAAUGGCCCUUAGCAUAUGAAUCUAAGGAAACUCAUUCAUGGACAUGUCACCCCAAAAUAUGCCUCAAUUUGACCCAAAGCAAUGAUUUUAAGCAUUGAGUAGGCUUAGCUUCUUGGAUGAAGGCUAUUUUCAAAUUUUCCCUGGCAAUACUUGAGUAUGGUAAUCAUAAUUAACAUUUAGUAGGCUAUAACUAUAUAACAGACUUUGUAUUAAGCACUUCAUAUUCAUUAUUUCUUUAAUCCUCCCAGUAACUGUUUAAAGGUGAUUUGUAUCAGUCCUACUUCAGAGCUGAGAAAGGCAAGCCUUACAGAGAUAAAUAACUUGUCCAAGUUCACAGUGUUAUAUCUGGACCAGAACUGCAGACUGAAACCAAAGUUUUCCAAAUCUAGUCCUUAUACUGUUUAUUUUAAAAAGUAACAUUUUAUUACUAUGUAAGCAGUAUCUAUAUGGUGUAAAAAAAUAUUAAUACCAAGCAAUAUGAAAAGAUUAAAAUUUCUACUAUUUAAAAAUCAUUAUAACACUUAUAGCAAAUACUUCCAAUCCCAUUCUAUAUGCAUAUAUUUUCAUCAAAAUGAGAUUAUACUGUCAUCUAGUUCAAAAAUCUGAUUUUGUCUCAAUAAGCAUUUCAGUAAAUUUUCUUCCUCUCUAACUCUGAGACCAUAUUCAGUGUUUCCCAAUGACUCGACAAUGCUCUUUAUAGAUGAUUUGUUUAAAUGAAUAUCCAAUCCAGAACCACAUACUGGACCUUUUUGUAUGUCUCAAGAUUCUUUAAAUGUAGCACGGUCAUUUAAAAAAAAAAAAAGACAUUAAUUUGUUGAAGAGACUAGGACAGUUGUCCAAUGCCCCAUCUUCUGGAAUUACCUCAUGGUGUCCUUUAGCUUGUACCUUUAUCCCUUGUUAGGGGAUAACAAGAUCAGAGAUAGUAACAAGAGUUGGAAUUUCAACCCAGGACCAAUUAGGGAUGUAUCUUCAGAUAAAAUACUUAAUUUCAUUGAUCCCCAGUUUUCUACCUAAUACAAAACUCAAACGCAACAAAAUAUUAGCUAACAUUAGAGAACAACCACACCAGGGUAGUACACAGUAAAUCAUAAUUUGUUUUUAAAUCGGUGACAUUUGAUGACUGAUUUGUUGUGGGUAGAAAGAGGGCCUCCCAUCAAUAUUGACCCUUACAAUAAUCUGAUUUCUUAUUUUUUAAGUUAAUUCCACAAUAUUGGAAUAUAUAGAACUAUAUUUAAAAUUUUAAAACAAAUAGAUUUAAAGAAAAUCAGGAAUACUGAGCACCUAUUGGAUUGCUGCCCAUCCCUCUUCUCUAGUAUCUGUCUGCCCCAUUCAUGGAUUGAGAUCCCCAGCAGGCCUGCCUACACCACACAGACCUGACCAUAGCUGGUUUGCUGAAGAGCAGAUUCCCAAGCAAUCAGAUUCUCUCUCUUGAGAGUGUGAAAUUGGAACUGAGCAAUUCCAGGCUAGUCUGCGCUAUUCUGAUGGAAGGAGAAGUUGUUAUGACUUAGGAACUCUAGGUUAACCAUCAUAUGCCCCAUAUUUAGAGUAGCAGUUACAAAUGGAGUAGCAACUGCAGAAUGGAAGCAUAAGGCAAAUAUCUUGAGAUUAGAGAUGAAGAAUACUUUCUCAUUUUCCACUCUACUUCUAUUUUUUGUUUCUAAUCUCUUCAUACAUUUUAGGUCUAUGAGAUGUCCCUGAAUCUUACAAUAAGUGAACCCUUUUUGUUUUAUGAUUCCUGUCACUUGUAACCAAAUAUAGCAGUAAAUAUCCUUGAAACCACUGGCUAGCAGAGAAUCAGAAAAUGAAGAUGAUAUAAGCUAAUAUGUUUAUUUCAAAAGAAUGUUUACAUUAACACAAAUUUCCAUUAACAAAAAAGAUAAUUUUUAUGUGACAUAGGAAAAGAGCCAAGAAAACAUGGAAAGACAUCCUAAGAUGCUACUCAACCACUAAGAAAGAUAAAAUUCCAGUGCUUAAUAUGGUAGAGUGAAACCUACUAAUAAACCUUCUUAAAAUUGGUUAGAGAGGGAGUUCCCAUCGUGGCCCAGUGGUUAACGAAUCCGACUAAGAACCAUGAGGUUGCGGGUUCAAUCCCUGGCCUUGCUCAGUGGGUUAAGGAUCCCAUGUUGCCGUGAGCUGUGGUGUAGGUCACAGAUGUGGCUCAGAUCCCGCACUGUUGUGGCUCUGGCGUAGGCCAGUGGCUACAGCUCUGAUUAGACCCCUAGCCUGGGAACCUCCACAUGACGCAUGAGUGGCCCUAGAAAGGGCAAAUAAAUAAAUAAAUAAAUAAAUUGGUUAGAGAAUAUAAACAUCCAAUAAAUAUAGAGCUAAAAUCAAGUUUUUGUUUCUUAAAAGCAGCAAAAUGAUAAUUCUUCAAGGAAGACAAAUAUCAAGAAAAUUGAAUUCAUAUUUUUCACUAAAUAUAUAAUAUAGAUUAAAAGCAAAAUAGCAUCAAAAAGUUAUUGUCUUGGAGAGUCCUAGGAUCAAACUGCUUCUAACUGGGCAUACAUCAAUAUACUUUCAAAAUUUGGGCUAACUCACUGUAUCAUGUUUAUCAAGGUAUCAUUUAUAGUAGCAUGCUUAUUAAAGAUAGCUUUUGGAAAGAAGGGAAAUUUUCAGGCAUAAUGAUUUUAAUUACUGCACAGUAGAUUCUUUGUUGGAAUACUUCAAUUUAUGACAAUCUCAAAAGCCUUUGGGGGGUUUGAGAAUUAAUGAUAAUAAUUUUGGUUAGGUACCCAAAUUACAUAUUGAAAAAUUAUUUGAAGGUCUAUUACUAUAAUUUUGAACAAAAUGUCAUGUAAAUAUAUGAGAAGAGAUGCUGGCCAAAUUCAAGAAAAGAUUUGUUAGGAAAGCCACCCUGACAAUCAUACCUUUUCAACUGCUUUCUUGAAUGUGCGAUUCUCCAAAAAUGUUCAUUAUAUCUGCAGUAGAUGUGCCCACCAAGAUAAUUAUGAACAGAUUAAUUUAAUGUGUUCUUUCAACUUUUUAAAAAGUAUCAAGUGUCUACAAUGUGCCCAGCAAGUGUUCAAGGUACCAGGGUUGUAGAAAUAAACAAAAGACAUCAAAUCCUUGCUCUCAGGAAAGAGGGCACGGGGAGCAGAUGUGCCAGAAAAGGGUGAUAAUCAAUACAAAUAAAUUAAUAAAUGAAGUCAGCUAAUGGUAUAAACUAUGAAGAAAACAAGGCAAAGUAAAACAGCAGAUAGAGAGUGAUUUGGGGAAAAGAUGCUAUUUUUCACUAUAGUGGUCAGGAAAGCCCUUGGUGAUGUGGUAACAUUUGAACAGAGAUGUGAGAGGUGAGUAAACAAAUCAUGUGACUGUCUGGAAGAAAACAAUGUCAGGCAGAGUGAACAGCAAACAUACAAGCCCUGAGGUGGAAACAUUCCUGUCAUGCUUUAGGAGUAGUAAAGGCAAACAUGGCUGUGGUUGAGCACACAGAGGGGAGGGUGAAGAAAAUUAGAUCAGAGAAGUAUGGGAGGAGCAAAUUUUGGUGGUUCUAAAUUUGUGUGAAAAUUCUAUGAUACUUUCUCUUUAAAUGGGAGCCAGACUUAGUGACUUGGUUCUGAUGAAUAGAAUGUCACAAAAGGGAUGUUAAUGUGACUUCUAAGACUAGGUCAUAAAAAGGACAGGUAGUGUCUGCCCUCCCUCAGAUCAUUCAUUCUGUAGUGUUGUGAAGACACUCAAGCAGUCUAAAGAGAAGCACAUACCUGGGAGGAACAGAGGCCUCCCACCAAGAACCAGCCUAAGAGCAUGAGAGUGAACCUUCUCAGAAGCAGACCCUCCAUCCUCAGUCAAGCCCUCAGAUGACUGUGGCCCCAUUUAACAUCUUUCAACAUCUUAGCUACAACCUCAAGAAAGGUUCCAAACCACAAUCAAUUAACUAAAAUGCUCUCAAUUUCCUGAUCUACAGAAACACUGAGAGAUAAUAAAUUUUUAUUUUUUUCUCUGAAUCCAUUAAGUUUGGAGAUAAUUUGUUAUGUAACAAUAAAAAAUGAUACAUAGAUAAUAUAAGCUCUAGUAAGCACUAGUAAGGACUGUCAUUUUUAUUCUAAAUGGGAUGGAGGCAAUGGACUAUCCAACACAAGAAAGGUACAUAAUCUGACUUUAAAAAAAAAAUCACUCUGACUGCUCUGUGAAUAUACUAUAGAGGGAAAUGGUGGAAGGUGAUAAUUACCAGAGUCAAGAUUAAGGAAUGUGCUGAUUUACAUUAGAGCAAUGGAGAGGCAUUUAAAUUUCAGAUCAAUUUGAAAGUAGAGAGCUGAUAGAAUUUGUUAAUGUAGUAUGUGAAACAAAAAAAAAUGAGUCAUAUGAUUCCUAGAUUUGGGGCUUGAGCAU